RNAcentral lists this long non-coding RNA (447 nucleotides) under Homo sapiens (human). RNAcentral's name for it is "HSALNT0387913". The record is from RNAcentral. Lineage: Eukaryota; Metazoa; Chordata; Mammalia; Primates; Hominidae.
UCCAGGCUGAAGCGAUCCUCCCACCUCAACCUCCCACGUGGCUGAGACUACAGGUGCUUGCCACUAUGCCCAACUAACAUUUGGAAUUUUCGUAUACGUGGAUUCUAGAGGGGUGACAGCGAAACGUGGGACCAUCCAGUUGCAGGAAAACAAGCUUAACACGCCCACUGAUUCUACAUUAUGCUCCUACCUCCCGGCAGCCUCUCCAGGCCCAGAACUUUCUCCAGUCAGCCUCUACAGACCAAGCUCAUGACUCUCAAUGGCCUAUUUAGGCCCAUACCCUACGUCACGGCAGCCUCCGCAGAUGAGGCUACUGCCUCACAACAGCCUCCACAGGCACAGCUCCAUCGUUACAAUGGCCUCUUUAGACCCAGCUCCUGCCUCCCAGCCUUCUCUCCAGGCCCUGAACUUUCUCAAGUCAACCUCACCAGGCCCAGCUCAUGCUUC